This 609-nucleotide ribosomal RNA is filed under the name Salmonella enterica. RNAcentral describes it as "partial 23S ribosomal RNA". It matches the Rfam family "Bacterial large subunit ribosomal RNA", at positions 2326 to 2925 of the family's 2925-position model. RNAcentral also lists the same sequence under 3 other names. Lineage: Bacteria; Pseudomonadati; Pseudomonadota; Gammaproteobacteria; Enterobacterales; Enterobacteriaceae. The record is from RNAcentral.
CCUGGUCGGACAUCAGGAGGUUAGUGCAAUGGCAUAAGCCAGCUUGACUGCGAGCGUGACGGCGCGAGCAGGUGCGAAAGCAGGUCAUAGUGAUCCGGUGGUUCUGAAUGGAAGGGCCAUCGCUCAACGGAUAAAAGGUACUCCGGGGAUAACAGGCUGAUACCGCCCAAGAGUUCAUAUCGACGGCGGUGUUUGGCACCUCGAUGUCGGCUCAUCACAUCCUGGGGCUGAAGUAGGUCCCAAGGGUAUGGCUGUUCGCCAUUUAAAGUGGUACGCGAGCUGGGUUUAGAACGUCGUGAGACAGUUCGGUCCCUAUCUGCCGUGGGCGCUGGAGAACUGAGGGGGGCUGCUCCUAGUACGAGAGGACCGGAGUGGACGCAUCACUGGUGUUCGGGUUGUCAUGCCAAUGGCACUGCCCGGUAGCUAAAUGCGGAAGAGAUAAGUGCUGAAAGCAUCUAAGCACGAAACUUGCCCCGAGAUGAGUUCUCCCUGAGACUUAGAGUCUCCUGAAGGAACGUUGAAGACGACGACGUUGAUAGGCCGGGUGUGUAAGCGCAGCGAUGCGUUGAGCUAACCGGUACUAAUGAACCGUGAGGCUUAACCUUACAA